GGCAAGAAAGCUUUCAUUCAUAAUAUUACUCAGAAAUAUUCAGUACAACAAACACCCACGCUAAAAAGAAACACGUUCAGAGAACAACCUUAGUAAGAGAUGAGAGUUCUUUAUCCUGUUUCUCCUAUCUAUAUAACAAAAACAACUGAAAGCUCUCAAUAUCAGUUAUUCUCUUUGCAUCUACUCUCAUAACCCACACGCUAUAUUAUGCAAAUAUGCUCAAGGGACCAGUCUUAUUUGAAGCCUCUAGACCAUUUUCAGCACUCCUCAUCCCGGUGAUCCAUGGCCUGAAGGAAAAAAAUAAAAACUUUGAUAAGUGAUAAAAGUUUGUAAGACUAAUAAGCUUGGAAAUCGACUUCAAAAGCGAAACAAUUUUAAAAUUUGAUUGUUUUUAAAACCCAUAUGCCUGAAAGACAGUUAGUUCCUUACGGAAAAGUGGAAAUCUUUUUUCUCCCUACGUUCUUACCUUCCGAUAUUGUCACUGUUAGUUGGCUUCAUCGGAAUUGUCAACCUUUUUGCUGUUUUUACAAAGACACUGCAUUUCCAACAAGAGUGAAUAUAAAAGUUCUAAUAAAUAUAGUACCAAGGAAACCUGUAACAUCUAUAAUUGCAAAUUUAGCAGUCACGUUAACCUUAUAAAAUCAAAAUACUAAAGGAAUGAGGCAGAAAGGUAUAAGAUGAGGAAAGAACUUUUCUUCACAAUGGUGUACCUGAAUGGCUCAUCUCCCAUCCGUUUAACAUCACCCAUUGCAUCUCGGUAAAGAACAUGGCUGAACAUAUCGGAUCUUUCUAUCCCAAACAUUUUGGCCAACCUAGUAUGCAGCUCUUCAUAAGAUCCAAGAACAGAUAAGUCAAGGGUCCGACCUACAUCCUCUGAUUCCAAGAAAACCUUGCACUGACCGGCAUCCAAGCCAGUUUCAGUGGUGUGAAGACUCUGCCAUGACAAGCCGGUACUAGCCGACUUUUCCACUGAUAUUUGUUUCUCAGAAGCACAUCCCAAAACAUCAUGACUUUUUGAUUUUUCCGGACUCUCAUCUGAUGAAAAUUUUCCACUAAGAACUUGGGAGACUGCAUCAGUGGAACAGCUAUGAGAAAUCUGCUGCUCAGUGAGAAUUGGUUGACCAAAGAGUAAAAAUUGGUGCCUCUUUACAUUAUCAGAUUUCUCUGAAUUUGUAUUAGAGCUCCCCAUUGUCAACAAGCAAGAUAAAUUCUCAUCGCUAUUUGUAUGGCCUUUCAUGAAACUUUCAGAAAUUCUAGAAUGUGAAUUGAACCGCUGGAGACCGGACAAAAACAGCCCUGACUGCAGUUUGUUGUUAAGCUGGAGAUCUGAUAAAGAUAUUCCAAAUUGAGCAUGCCUGGCUCCCUGUAUGCCUGCAGGAGUGUUAUCAGAUAGACAACACAAGGGGCUGCUAGGCCCAAGCGGGUUGCCUGAAAAUGAUGGCCAUUGAAAUUGGCUAUCAAGGGGAAAGUCCAAGUGUUGCGGGAGCCGCAACUUCUUCCUUGGUGGGGAGAAGGGUGACAGGUGGAUGACUGGCAUGUUUGAAACCAAUUCAACCAACCAUGGGCUGACACAUUUUACAUUCUGCAGCAAAUCCGGCUCAUCCCAUGUCACCUGCAAUGAGAAUUUGCAGAGAUAUUGUAAGGAUUAAAGGAUUAAAAACAAAAGAAGAUGUCAUAAACAGGGCUGUUAGUGCAGGAAAAACAAUUCUAAAAUGCAAGGGAACAGUUGAAUCAUAGAAGUACUAAGAUUCUUUAAUGAUUCUCCAUCAAUAAUUACCGCUGUAAAAUCCAUGAAAUGGCAUACUCAAAGUACCACAUGCAUCAAUGUAUUAUAGUUUGAGAAUCUGAGAUUAAGUGGAUCUUUUUAAAAGAAUAUAAAUACAAAAGUAUUUAUUAACUAAAAAGAAAUCACAGACAAUUAGAUUAAGGAAACAUCAUAACUUGGGCAACAAUGUGUAGGGAAUCCCCUAAUAAUUGAUUAGCUCAAACACAUGGAUUAUAUAUUUUCUGGUAACUUGCAUGAUGGGUAUAUCAUUUAUUGAAUAUGCCAUGUCAGAAACUCCUAUCUGGUUCCCAUGUGGAGCUUAUUAAACGAUCCAAGGACAAAAUUUACAAAUUCUGUCAGGUAGAGGACAGCAUAAGGGAUAAUAGUAAUUAUACAGAUCAAGCAGAUCAUAACACACAAAGAAUGAAAGAACUCCUAAAUAAAAAGCCGAAAGCUAAAAUGAUGGUUACCUUAUCAAUCAACUAUGGGACAAUGGUCAACCGUUUAACAUAAAUGAGCAGGUGUACUAGCCAUAAUGCUAUCUGUUUCAACUUAUCAGAAACUUCAAUUAAGAUAGUAAAUGCCCCACCAUUGAUUCAAAGAAACUUUAUCAGGUACUGCACAGUGAUUCAUCAGCAAGCAAUACUCUUAGCACACGACUUCCACAAAUAUCACACAAAAAACCCAUUUUUAUCCAACAACUGGUUUGGUGUUCCAGGUAUGAAAAGGAGAUUGUCAGUUGCAACAAAUCGCUGACAGAAAAUACUAUAACUGAAUACCAGAAAAGCAAAGGAAAUAAAACAAGAAGAAAUUUUGCGACCAAAAGUGGUAUAGCAUCCACAUCUUCAUCCUCCUAUAAUUUAUUAUUAAAGAGGCCUACCGUACGGAUAAAGUGUUGCAAAUGAGAGGCACAGGAAGCCAAUCAAGUCUCCAGGCAACUAACUCAUGAUUUGAAAGAAAAUGAUGCAACUCUGAAUGUUUAACAAAUUAGAGACUCGAAUAAUCCAAAAUAUCAACAACUAGAAAAACACUAGACAAAGGCUAAAUUGAGCAAUAGGAGUUACAAGAAGCAUUGGUAAUAAAGUGAAGUGUAGAACCUGGAGAAGCCGCCAAGGAGAAUUAGGCCACCGGAUGGGAUCAAAAACCUGAACAGAGGCCACAGUCCCCAUGAACCAGCUAAUCCGUGAAGAAUCCUCUGUCUCAAAGGCCAUCUUGAACCUCAUUCCAGAGCACCAUUGGAUCCUCAUUGCAGCCCUCACCGAAGACGCCUUAACGCAAAACUCCGGUGUGCUUGCCCGAGGGUAAUAAACAACCUCAAACGGCUGACCGUUGGCUGCAUGCGCCACCGCCUCCAAAACCUCUUCAGGCCUUACUCUUCCCCUGCCUCGUAGUCCCCCAUUUCGCAUUCCUUUAUUCUCAUCUUCUUUCAGAAAAAGAGAAAAUCCACCAUAUGGGUUAACACAACUCGCAUUUGCAGUCCAUCCAGAGGAAGGUGACGACGAUUCAAUCCCAUUUCCAAUCCCAAUUCCCCGCUUGGCGCGGCGAAUUCCGACGCAGAGAUCGCCAUUUUCAGCUCUCAGGAACACAAUUGAAUCCCCAGCAACCAAUUUCUUCUGGUUAACAAACGUGCUCCACCCAGUAGUCAACAAAUGCCUUCUCGGCGUCCCUCUAUAAAUAUGCCUAAACUUCCAUAUCUCGCCAUGAACAUCCUUGGCAACAACCGUCUGCACCGGUGGAUCUGCCGAGUAAUCCAACCGGGGAAAUAUAGUCUCUGCACAGUAUCGUGGCACAGAGAAACCCCCUCCGUUAUUAGCAUCAGAUUGAGUUAGCGUCUUCGCAAAAGAAGCAGGCUUCUCUGUGUUAUUGCCAUUAUCGCAUAUACCCAUUUCUUCCCCGAAAUCAAGUUCGUUGUUUGGCAAUGCGACGAGGCUAAUCUUUGCGUAGACUUCGUCGGUUUCUAAAUCGGCCAGGUACUUGACAGCUGCCACGCGACAUAGGAUAAGGGCCGGGAUUCUAAGGGAGGAGGAGAAAUCGACCGGAGAUUGGGAGUGCUCGGCGUGGCCUUGAGGAAAGUAGAAUACUCUGGAAUUCACUGGAGGGAUCUGUACCAUGCUUCCUGAGCAGGCGUGCCAUAACUGUGGAUCCAAGCUCUUCUCCAGCUCUUUCAUUGCUUCUGGCAGCGGUGGACUUGAUGUUGGCGAAGAGAGUUCUUGAAAUGCUGUUAGGUGUUAAGUGAAAGAAAACACACACUGCAACAGAGCAAAAGAGAACACCGUUCUUCUCUGUCUGCUACUUCCAAAAAAUGGAACACCUUUACAAGCUUUAUAAAAAUCUAUGUGACAGUGCCAUGUAUCAAAGUUUCAACAUUUACUGCAAAAGCAUCAAUAACCCCCCCAAAUAAUCUAUCGAUUAUCUUCUGAAAUGAAUAAUUUAAGAGCUGAAAUUUCUCUUCAUCACUGAAGAAAACCCAAUUCCUCUUUUAGUCCAAGGAAAAAGCUCUUCUUCUUCUUCACUUAAAAAAGCUGAAUUCUUGAACAACGUGACAGUAUAUUUCCACGCACACACAGACAGACAUUAAUCGGCGAUCAAAUACUCAGCAGCACCUUCAAUCCGCCAAAUUACCUUCCAACAAAACCCCAAAUUUUAAAUCACACCCAUUUUACUAACUUCCAAAACAAAAGCUACCCUUUUCUCCCCUCUUUCCUCUUUUUUGAAGAUCAACCUGAAAUUUUUGUUUUUAUUUUUCUUGGUUUCGAUCAGAUCUCACAAAAUCCAACUCUCUCUCUCUCUCUCUUAUUCUUUAUAUUCGAGAUUUCAUGGAUAUGAGUAUUAAUUUAAUGUACAACCACUUAUCUAAUUGCAAGUUUUCGGGUUUUUUUUUUUUUU
RNAcentral lists this unclassified non-coding RNA (4651 nucleotides) under Hevea brasiliensis (rubber tree). Lineage: Eukaryota; Viridiplantae; Streptophyta; Magnoliopsida; Malpighiales; Euphorbiaceae. The record is from RNAcentral.